GUCCACGCCCUAAACGAUGCUCACUAGGUGUUGGGGAAGCGAUUCCUUGGUACCGAAGCUAACGCGUGAAGUGAGCCGCCUGGGGAGUACGGCCGCAAGGUUAAAACUCAAAGGAAUUGACGGGGACCCGCACAAGCGGUGGAUGAUGUGGAUUAAUUCGAUGCAACGCGAACAACCUUACCUACCCUUGACAUGUCUGGAAGGCUUCCGAGAGGAGGCUGUGCCUGAAAGGGAACCGGAACACAGGUGCUGCAUGGCUGUCGU
Molecule: ribosomal RNA, 264 nt
Filed under: uncultured bacterium
Lineage: Bacteria
Description: partial 16S ribosomal RNA
Rfam family: Bacterial small subunit ribosomal RNA
Source: RNAcentral